UGUCCACACCAAGAUCACCAAUGGUAACCCUUGAACAGCUUCUAAAGCUUUCCCAAUUAAUUAGAAAAUCAAGUUUUGCCUUUUGAGAGAUUACAAAUGUAAAUAGGAUACUAGAAACGAUUUCUAGUAUUUUUAAUUCAAGAGAUUGUUGUCUAAUCUCUUUAAAUUGAUGAGAGAUGAAGAAGAAGAGAAGGAGUGGCAGCCAAGGGUGGCGGCACAAAGAGAGAACAACAGCUUAUAAUUUUUGUUCUUUCAUCCUUACACUUAUAUAGCUAGGUUACCACUUAAAACCCUUACAACAUGUCACCUUUUGAUUAGCUCU
This 322-nucleotide unclassified non-coding RNA is filed under the name Hevea brasiliensis (rubber tree). Lineage: Eukaryota; Viridiplantae; Streptophyta; Magnoliopsida; Malpighiales; Euphorbiaceae. The record is from RNAcentral.